RNAcentral lists this ribosomal RNA (490 nucleotides) under uncultured bacterium. RNAcentral describes it as "partial 16S ribosomal RNA". It matches the Rfam family "Bacterial small subunit ribosomal RNA", at positions 30 to 507 of the family's 1533-position model. The record is from RNAcentral.
AUUGAACGCUGGCGGCAGGCCUAACACAUGCAAGUCGAACGGUAACAGGAAGAAGCUUGCUUCUUUGCUGACGAGUGGCGGACGGGUGAGUAAUGUCUGGGAAACUGCCUGAUGGAGGGGGAUAACUACUGGAAACGGUAGCUAAUACCGCAUAACGUCGCAAGAUCAAAGAGGGGGACCUUCGGGCCUCUUGCCAUCGUAUGUGCCCAGAUGGGAUUAGCUAGUAGGUGGGGUAACGGCUCACCUAGGCGACGAUCCCUAGCUGGUCUGAGAGGAUGACGAGCCACACUGGAACUGAGACACGGUCCAGACUCCUACGGGAGGCAGCAGUGGGGAAUAUUGCACAAUGGGCGCAAGCCUGAUGCAGCCAUGCCGCGUGUAGGAAGAAGGCCUUCGGGUUGUAAAGUACGUUCAGCGGGGAGGAAGGGAGUAAAGUUAAUACCUUUGCUCAUUGACGUUACCCGAAGAAGAAGCACCGGCUAACUACGUG